GACGAACGCUGGCGGCGUGCCUAAUACAUGCAAGUAGAACGCACAGUUUAUACCGUAGCUUGCUACACCAUAAACUGUGAGUUGCGAACGGGUGAGUAACGCGUAGGUAACCUGCCUGGUAGCGGGGGAUAACUAUUGGAAACGAUAGCUAAUACCGCAUCAUAUUAAUUAUUGCAUGAUAAUUGAUUGAAAGCUGCAAUUGCAUCACUACCAGAUGGACCUGCGUUGUAUUAGCUAGUAGGUGAGGUAACGGCUCACCUAGGCGACGAUACAUAGCCGACCUGGGAGGGUGAUCGGCCACACUGGGACUGAGACAAGGCCCAGACUCCUACGGGAGGCAGCAGUAGGGAAUCUUCGGCAAUGGACGAAAGUCUGACCGAGCAACGCCGCGGGAGUGAAGAAGGGUUUCGGAUCGUAAAGCUCUGUUGUAAGAGAAGAACGGGUGUGAGAGUGGAAAGUUCACACUGUGACGGUAUCUUACCAGAAAGGGACGGCUAACUACGUG
Molecule: ribosomal RNA, 505 nt
Filed under: uncultured bacterium
Lineage: Bacteria
Description: partial 16S ribosomal RNA
Rfam family: Bacterial small subunit ribosomal RNA
Source: RNAcentral